RNAcentral lists this ribosomal RNA (484 nucleotides) under uncultured bacterium. RNAcentral describes it as "partial 16S ribosomal RNA". It matches the Rfam family "Bacterial small subunit ribosomal RNA", at positions 30 to 507 of the family's 1533-position model. The record is from RNAcentral.
AUUGAACGCUGGCGGCAUGCUUUACACAUGCAAGUCGAACGGCAGCGCGGGCUUCGGCCUGGCGGCGAGUGGCGAACGGGUGAGUAAUACAUCGGAACGUGCCCAGUAGUGGGGGAUAGCUCGGCGAAAGCCGGAUUAAUACCGCAUACGACCUGAGGGUGAAAGCGGGGGAUCUUCGGACCUCGCGCUAUUGGAGCGGCCGAUGGCAGAUUAGCUAGUUGGUGGGGUAAAGGCCUACCAAGGCGACGAUCUGUAGCUGGUCUGAGAGGACGACCAGCCACACUGGGACUGAGACACGGCCCAGACUCCUACGGGAGGCAGCAGUAGGGAAUCUUCCGCAAUGGGCGAAAGCCUGACGGAGCAACGCCGCGUGAGUGAUGAAGGUCUUCGGAUCGUAAAACUCUGUUAUUAGGGAAGAACAUAUGUGUAAGUAACUGUGCACAUCUUGACGGUACCUAAUCAGAAAGCCACGGCUAACUACGUG